UGGCUGAACGUUGUUAUGCGU
This 21-nucleotide microRNA is filed under the name Ixodes scapularis (black-legged tick). RNAcentral's name for it is "isc-miR-5312". The record is from miRBase by way of RNAcentral. Lineage: Eukaryota; Metazoa; Arthropoda; Arachnida; Ixodida; Ixodidae.